Molecule: ribosomal RNA, 253 nt
Filed under: uncultured bacterium
Lineage: Bacteria
Description: partial 16S ribosomal RNA
Rfam family: Bacterial small subunit ribosomal RNA
Source: RNAcentral
UACGUAGGGGGCAAGCGUUAUCCGGAUUUACUGGGUGUAAAGGGAGCGUAGGUGGUGUGGUAAGUCAGAUGUGAAAGCCCGUGGCUCAACUGCGGGACUGCAUUUGAAACUAUCAUGCUAGAGUGCAGGAGAGGUAAGUGGAAUUCCUAGUGUAGCGGUGAAAUGCGUAGAUAUUAGGAGGAACACCAGUGGCGAAGGCGGCUUACUGGACUGUAACUGACACUGAGGCUCGAAAGCGUGGGGAGCAAACAGG